This 424-nucleotide ribosomal RNA is filed under the name Fusobacteriota bacterium. RNAcentral's name for it is "Fusobacteria bacterium partial 16S ribosomal RNA". It matches the Rfam family "Bacterial small subunit ribosomal RNA", at positions 355 to 776 of the family's 1533-position model. Lineage: Bacteria; Fusobacteriati; Fusobacteriota. The record is from RNAcentral.
UGAGGAAUAUUGGUCAAUGGGCGAGAGCCUGAACCAGCCAAGUAGCGUGCAGGAUGACGGCCCUAUGGGUUGUAAACUGCUUUUAUGUGGGGAUAAAGUGCGUGACGUGUCAUGCAUUGCAGGUACCACAUGAAUAAGGACCGGCUAAUUCCGUGCCAGCAGCCGCGGUAAUACGGAAGGUCCGGGCGUUAUCCGGAUUUAUUGGGUUUAAAGGGAGCGUAGGCUGUCUAUUAAGCGUGUUGUGAAAUUUACCGGCUCAACCGGUGGCUUGCAGCGCGAACUGGUCGACUUGAGUAUGCAUGAAGUAGGCGGAAUUCAUGGUGUAGCGGUGAAAUGCUUAGAUAUCAUGACGAACUCCGAUUGCGCAGGCAGCUUACUGUAGCAUAACUGACGCUGAUGCUCGAAAGUGCGGGUAUCAAACAGG